RNAcentral lists this ribosomal RNA (740 nucleotides) under uncultured Alphaproteobacteria bacterium. RNAcentral describes it as "bacterial SSU rRNA". It matches the Rfam family "Bacterial small subunit ribosomal RNA", at positions 86 to 803 of the family's 1533-position model. The record is from RNAcentral. Lineage: Bacteria; Pseudomonadati; Pseudomonadota; Alphaproteobacteria.
CCAUACUUAGUGGCAGACGGGUGAGUAACAUGUAGGAUCUACCCUAUUGAGCUGGAAUAACACGAGGAAACUUGUGCUAAUACCGGAUAAGUCUUUACGGAGAAAGCUAUAUAUGCACCAUAUGGAUAGAGCCUGCACUUGCAUUAGUAUUCGUCGUGUACGGGUAAUGUGGCUAUCCCAGACUUUGAUCCAUAGCUUGAAUUUGAGAGGAUGAUCAGCCACCUUGGGACUGAGACACGGUCCAAACUCCUACGGGAGGCAGCAGUGGGGAAUCUUGCGCAAUGGAGUGAAACUCUGAGUGCAGCGAUACCGCGUGUAGAUGAAGAAGGGCUUUGGGUUGUAAAGCUCUUUCGUCGGGGAAGAAAAUGAGUGUACCCGCAAUAUGAAGGUGCGGGUAAAUUCGGGGCAGGCGGCGCGGUUAUACGAAGGGACCUAGCGUAUUUCGGAAUUACUCGUGGCUUCAAGAAGUCCGGAAGGUGGUUGAACCGGUUGGUGGUGAAAUCCCAGAGCUUAACUCUGGAACUGGGCAAUCAGAACUUUUUCCACUAGAGGUUUGAUAAGAGGGAACGGCAGAAUUUCUAAUUGGUGAAUGUGACAUUUCGCACGCUCUUUAGACCGCACAUACCACAUUGCGCCAGUGCGAGCUUACUUGGCAUCCUUUACUUGACACGUGAGAGGAACGAGAAGCAUGUGGUAUGCGAACGAAGGAUAUAGAUAUCCCUCGGUAAGUCCAAUGCCCG